GGGGUUGUAGCUCAGUGGUAGAGUACUCACCUAGCACAUGUGAGGCACUGGGUUCAAUCCUCAACACCA
RNAcentral lists this transfer RNA (69 nucleotides) under Ictidomys tridecemlineatus (thirteen-lined ground squirrel). RNAcentral's name for it is "Spermophilus tridecemlineatus (thirteen-lined ground squirrel) tRNA". It matches the Rfam family "tRNA". From Rfam's summary of the family: Transfer RNA (tRNA) molecules are approximately 80 nucleotides in length. Their secondary structure includes four short double-helical elements and three loops (D, anti-codon, and T loops). The record is from Rfam by way of RNAcentral. Lineage: Eukaryota; Metazoa; Chordata; Mammalia; Rodentia; Sciuridae.